UAUUAGCUCAGUUGGUAGAGCAGCGGACUCUUAAUCCGAAGGUCCAGGGUUCGACCCCCUG
This 61-nucleotide transfer RNA is filed under the name human gut metagenome. It matches the Rfam family "tRNA", at positions 8 to 63 of the family's 71-position model. From Rfam's summary of the family: Transfer RNA (tRNA) molecules are approximately 80 nucleotides in length. Their secondary structure includes four short double-helical elements and three loops (D, anti-codon, and T loops). RNAcentral also lists the same sequence under 2 other names. The record is from RNAcentral.